Molecule: ribosomal RNA, 517 nt
Filed under: uncultured bacterium
Lineage: Bacteria
Description: bacterial SSU rRNA
Rfam family: Bacterial small subunit ribosomal RNA
Source: RNAcentral
AGAGUUUGAUUAUGGCUCAGGAUGAACGCUAGCGGCAGGCUUAACACAUGCAAGUCGAGGGGCAGCGGGAUGUAGCAAUACAUUGCCGGCGACCGGCGGAUGGGUGCGUAACGCGUAUGCAACCUACCUUAUACAGGGGAAUAACCUUUCGAAAGGGAGACUAACACCCCAUAGUAUUGAUUUAAGGCAUCUUAGAUUAAUUAAAUAUUUAUAGGUAUAAGAUGGGCAUGCGUAUGAUUAGCUAGUUGGUAAGGUAACGGCUUACCAAGGCGACGAUCAUUAGGGGUUCUGAGAGGAAGGUCCCCCACACUGGUACUGAGACACGGACCAGACUCCUACGGGAGGCAGCAGUGAGGAAUAUUGGUCAAUGGGCGCAAGCCUGAACCAGCCAUGCCGCGUGCAGGAAGACGGCCUUAUGGGUUGUAAACUGCUUUUACAUAAGACUAACCGUAUAUUUGCGAAUAUACCUGAAUGUAUUAUGAGAAUAAGGAUCGGCUAACUCCGUGCCAGCCGCCGC